GUUUAUUUUUUUUCCUCUAGUUGGUAAUAUAAAAUGCUGAUAGAAAUGUAACGGAUGUAAGUUUCCCUGCAUUAAAAGUCCCCGACCACUAGGCGCGCCGCCUCGAGCAUUUUCUUGUUUGCUUAUGGCUUUAUGCAGCUCGUUGAGUAUGGUCUUAGUGCCAGCAUCGGUUUGUGCUGGUAAAUAGACAACUACGAAGAAUGUAGAUAAACUCUCUUGGUAAAUAGUUUGCAGCUCGCCUAUGAUUUGAUUCUCUGCCUGUGAUUGUGGACAGAGGUAGCCAAUGGCAGUGAGAGGGGUUUCUUGCUCUCUUGGUGUGUGUUGAGCGCUGACAGCAGAAGAGAGUACGGAGCCCAGCAACAGAAAGCUUACCACACAUUUCCCCAGUCUGUCUUGACGAGAGCACAAGUCUACACCAUGGACCGCCUCUCCCUUGCUUCUUCUCUAGAUAACGAUGACGACACAACUCAAAAAGAGGACACAUGGAAUAUCUGAGGAAAAACAAAACCAUGGAGGGAAAGAAAAUUCCCAGACCAACCAGCCCUAAAGGAUCUAACAUUCUAAAAUGACAACCAUGACCACACCUCAGCACCGGUCCAGACGUUAAAGGACCAAGAACGCACCAGGGGGGACUCCAGAGCUGACCCAUGCCUUCGCCGAGGAGGUUCUUGGUGGCGUCCACCUCGCUGCCCGUAGCCUUGGGCUGGGGCUGGAACCUGAGCGUGUACCUGGGGCUGUUGCUGCUACUGCUCCUGCUCAUGGGGCUCCUGCUCUGGAUGCUCCUCAAGCAGCUGAGGAACUCUGUGGGAUCUAGUCUGCAGCCCGGGCGCUCUCUGAGAGACCCUCGCCAUGGUCAGAGAGGAAACUAUGUCCUGUAAAGGAAGAAUACGAGUGUGCUGACUUUGUUGGACUGUGUCUCCAUCUUGUUGGAUGGAAAGACUGACUUCUCCAGACUUGUAUUUAGACUGUGCCUAAAAAGACCUUUGUUAUAAGGAAAUUAUGUUGUUGUUUUUUUAAAUGAUGUUGGGCUUUGCCUCGCAGCUUGUUCAAUGGAAAGACAGUAUUUUGAAGAUCAAGAAUUCUAUUGGACUGUGCCAAAGACACUGUUGGAAGGAAAUACUCUCUUUUCUGAUAGGGUGAAAUACCUUUCUUUUCAAGAGGUGUCAGACUAUGCUUUAAGGACCGAUUUAUCCUUGAGCGGAUGGUCGAGGGGGCUGGAACAUAGUUAUAAAUCAUUUGUACACUGUAAAUUGAAUUCAAGAAUUCCAAUCAGAAUCAUUUUAAAAUUGGAUACAAUCACACAUUGUCUAUUUAUGCGUGGUAAUAUUUGGGAACAGAUUUCCUAAAUUAAAAUCACUCUGACAUUUCCUGGGGAUUUUACUGUCUUAUGUCAAAGAAUGAAAAUGAUUAAUAAUAGUAAAAUAUGUGUUUAUUCUUUGCUCAGAAAACUUGGGCCAAAUAAAAUCACUGGCAGGACGAAUUUGGCCCGUGGCCCGCCUUUUGGGGAACCCUGCUGUAG
Molecule: long non-coding RNA, 1519 nt
Organism: Oncorhynchus tshawytscha (Chinook salmon)
Lineage: Eukaryota; Metazoa; Chordata; Actinopteri; Salmoniformes; Salmonidae
Source: Ensembl